RNAcentral lists this microRNA precursor (92 nucleotides) under Dasypus novemcinctus (nine-banded armadillo). RNAcentral describes it as "miRNA (ENSDNOG00000037212.1)". Lineage: Eukaryota; Metazoa; Chordata; Mammalia; Cingulata; Dasypodidae. The record is from RNAcentral.
ACUUUACUGACAUAAGUAUGUGUGUGUGUGUGUGUGUGUGUGUGUGUGUAUAUAUAUAUAGUCAUAUAGUCAUACACAUACAUUCUACGUGU